RNAcentral lists this unclassified non-coding RNA (339 nucleotides) under soil metagenome. RNAcentral's name for it is "partial contains 5.8S ribosomal RNA, internal transcribed spacer 2, and large subunit ribosomal RNA". The stretch from base 1 to 120 matches the Rfam family "5.8S ribosomal RNA", at positions 35 to 154 of the family's 154-position model. The record is from RNAcentral.
GAUGAAGAACGCAGCGAAAUGCGAUACGUAGUGUGAAUUGCAGAAUUCAGUGAAUCAUCGAAUCUUUGAACGCACAUUGCACCUCUCGGUAUUCCGGGAGGUAUGCCUGUUCGAGCGUCAUUUGUACCCUCAAGCUCUGCUUGGUGUUGGGUGUUUGUUCCGCCUCUGUGUGUGAACUCGCCUCAAAACAAUUGGCAGCCGGCGUACUUGUUUCGGAGCGCAGCACAUUUUGCGAUCCAGAUCAACGUACAGCGGCAUCCAAGAAGCCUUAUUUAUCGCUCUUGACCUCGGAUCAGGUAGGGAUACCCGCUGAACUUAAGCAUAUCAAUAAGCGGAGGA